Molecule: transfer RNA, 83 nt
Filed under: Rubrivirga sp. SAORIC476
Lineage: Bacteria; Pseudomonadati; Rhodothermota; Rhodothermia; Rhodothermales; Rubricoccaceae
Also listed under: 1 other name
Description: tRNA-Leu
Rfam family: tRNA
About the family: Transfer RNA (tRNA) molecules are approximately 80 nucleotides in length. Their secondary structure includes four short double-helical elements and three loops (D, anti-codon, and T loops).
Source: RNAcentral
GCCGGAGUGGUGGAAUGGUAGACACGGCAGCCUUAGGAGCUGUUGCUUUCACGAGCGUGCGGGUUCAAGUCCCGCCUCCGGCA